GUCAGCAGUCGCGAAUCUUCCACAAUGGACGAAAGUCUGAUGGAGCGACGCCGCGUGCGGGAUGAAGGCCUUAUGGGUUGUAAACCGCUGUCAGGGGGGAAGAACAUCGGAAUGAACAAUACUCAUUCCGACUGACGUUACCCCAGAGGAAGCUCCGGCCAACUCCGUGCCAGCAGCCGCGGUAAUACGGGGGAGCAAGCGUUGUCCGGAAUUAUUGGGCGUAAAGGGCGUGUAGGCGGCGAGGUAAGUCGAAUGUGAAAUCUCACGGCUCAACCGUGAAACUGCGUUCGAAACUACCCUGCUUGAGUACGGGAGAGGUGUACGGAAUUCCUGGUGUAGCGGUGGAAUGCGUAGAUAUC
This 359-nucleotide ribosomal RNA is filed under the name uncultured microorganism. RNAcentral's name for it is "bacterial SSU rRNA". It matches the Rfam family "Bacterial small subunit ribosomal RNA", at positions 347 to 698 of the family's 1533-position model. The record is from RNAcentral.